GUGCUCACUUUGGCAGCACAUAUACUAAAAUUGGAAUGACGGAGAUUAACAGGGCCCUGGUGCAAGGAUGACACACAAAUUCAUGAAGCGUUCCAUAUUUUU
Molecule: small nuclear RNA, 102 nt
Organism: Vicugna pacos (alpaca)
Lineage: Eukaryota; Metazoa; Chordata; Mammalia; Artiodactyla; Camelidae
Source: Ensembl